UGCUAGUUUUCUAGCGAAUGGUUCAUUCUUUUUUACUGUGAACUGUUUUAAUUUUUCAGCGUCUGAGGAAUGUCUUUUAGCCAUAGGGAUAGGCUACUAGAAUGUUAACCGAGCUGAAAGUCAGGCUUAGGCCUGGUAUCCUAUUAAUUAUUUACCAAAAGAAUUCAGUAUUAUAAUUGUAACAUAAGCGUAAAAAACUUAUAAAACAACUUUUAACAACGGAUCUCUUGGUUCUCGCAUCGAUGAAGAACGUAGCAAAGUGCGAUAACUAGUGUGAAUUGCAUAUUCAGUGAAUCAUCGAGUCUUUGAACGCAACUUGCGCUCAAUGGUAUUCCAUUGAGCACGCCUGUUUCAGUAUCAAAAACACCCCACAUUCAUAAUUUUGUUGUGAAUGGAAAUGAGAGUUUCGGCUUUAUUGCUGAAUUCUUUAAAAUUAUUAGGCCUGAACUAUUGUUCUUUCUGCCUGAACAUUUUUUUAAUAUAAAGGAAUGCUCUAGUAAAAAGACUAUCUCUGGGGCCUCCCAAAUAAAUCAUUCUUAAAUUUGAUCUGAAAUCAGGCGGGAUUACCCGCUGAACUUAAGCAUAUCAAUAAGCGGAGG
Molecule: ribosomal RNA, 599 nt
Filed under: Mucor hiemalis
Lineage: Eukaryota; Fungi; Mucoromycota; Mucoromycetes; Mucorales; Mucoraceae
Description: eukaryotic LSU rRNA
Rfam family: 5.8S ribosomal RNA (bases 208-360)
Source: RNAcentral